Non-coding RNA from Parastrongyloides trichosuri, 46 nucleotides. The record is from Rfam. NCBI's taxonomy places the organism in Eukaryota, Metazoa, Nematoda, Chromadorea, Rhabditida, Strongyloididae.
CCAAAGGCCCUCUUUAGGGCCACCAAAUUAUUUUAAUUUUGUAAAU